CAGCAGCCGCGGUAAUACGUAGGGCGCAAGCGUUAUCCGGAAUUAUUGGGCGUAAAGAGCUCGUAGGCGGUUUGUCGCGUCUGCCGUGAAAGUCCGGGGCUCAACCCCGGAUCUGCGGUGGGUACGGGCAGACUAGAGUGAUGUAGGGGAGACUGGAAUUCCUGGUGUAGCGGUGAAAUGCGCAGAUAUCAGGAGGAACACCGAUGGCGAAGGCAGGUCUCUGGGCAUUAACUGACGCUGAGGAGCGAAAGCAUGGGGAGCGAACAGGAUUAGAGACCCCCGUAGUCCCUGUCUCUUAUAC
RNAcentral lists this ribosomal RNA (301 nucleotides) under uncultured bacterium. Its description in RNAcentral is "partial 16S ribosomal RNA". It matches the Rfam family "Bacterial small subunit ribosomal RNA", at positions 509 to 807 of the family's 1533-position model. The record is from RNAcentral.